UACGAAGGGGGCUAGCGUUGUUCGGAAUUACUGGGCGUAAAGAGCGCGCAGGCGGUCCUUUAAGUCGAGUGUGAAAGCCUCCGGCUCAACUGGGGAGGGUCACUCGAUACUGAUCGACUUGAAGGCAGGAGAGGGAAGCGGAAUUCCCGGUGUAGUGGUGAAAUGCGUAGAUAUCGGGAGGAACACCAGUGGCGAAGGCGGCUUCCUGGCCUGUUCUUGACGCUGAGGCGCGAAAGCUAGGGGAGCAAACGGG
Molecule: ribosomal RNA, 253 nt
Filed under: uncultured bacterium
Lineage: Bacteria
Description: partial 16S ribosomal RNA
Rfam family: Bacterial small subunit ribosomal RNA
Source: RNAcentral